RNAcentral lists this ribosomal RNA (469 nucleotides) under uncultured soil bacterium. RNAcentral's name for it is "bacterial SSU rRNA". It matches the Rfam family "Bacterial small subunit ribosomal RNA", at positions 128 to 572 of the family's 1533-position model. The record is from RNAcentral.
GCCCUCGGGUCCGGAAUAACCUGCCGAAAGGCGGGCUAAUACCGGGUAACGAUACGGGGUCUUCGGACUCUGCAUCUAAAGCUGACCUCUUCAUUGAAAGUUGGCGCCUGGGGAGGGGCUCGCGUCCCAUUAGCUUGUUGGUGAGGUAGCGGCUCACCAAGGCUACGAUGGGUAGCCGGCCUGAGAGGGCGACCGGCCACAGUGGAACUGAGACACGGUCCACACUCCUACGGGAGGCAGCAGUGAGGAAUCUUGCGCAAUGGGCGAAAGCCUGACGCAGCGACGCCGCGUGGACGAUGAAGGCCUUCGGGUCGUAAAGUCCUGUCGGGUGGGAAGAAUGGGUUUGGGGCUAAUAUCCCCAAGCCUUGACGGUACCACUAGAGGAAGCCCCGGCUAACUCCGUGCCAGCAGCCGCGGUAAUACGGAGGGGGCCAGCGUUGCUCGGAAUUAUUGGGCGUAAAGGGCGCGU